GACGAACGCUGGCGGCGUGCUUAACACAUGCAAGUCGAACGGAAAGGCCCUGCUUUUGUGGGGUGCUCGAGUGGCGAACGGGUGAGUAACACGUGAGUAACCUGCCCUUGACUUUGGGAUAACUUCAGGAAACUGGGGCUAAUACCGGAUAGGAGCUCCUGCUGCAUGGUGGGGGUUGGAAAGUUUCGGCGGUUGGGGAUGGACUCGCGGCUUAUCAGCUUGUUGGUGGGGUAGUGGCUUACCAAGGCUUUGACGGGUAGCCGGCCUGAGAGGGCGACCGGCCACAUUGGGACUGAGAUACGGCCCAGACUCCUACGGGAGGCAGCAGUGGGGAAUAUUGCACAAUGGGCGGAAGCCUGAUGCAGCAACGCCGCGUGCGGGAUGACGGCCUUCGGGUUGUAAACCGCUUUCGCCUGUGACGAAGCGUGAGUGACGGUAAUGGGUAAAGAAGCACCGGCUAACUACGUGCCAGCAGCCGCGGUGAUACGUAGGGUGCGAGCGUUGUCCGGAUUUAUUGGGCGUAAAGGGCUCGUAGGUGGUUGAUCGCGUCGGAAGUGUAAUCUUGGGGCUUAACCCUGAGCGUGCUUUCGAUACGGGUUGACUUGAGGAAGGUAGGGGAGAAUGGAAUUCCUGGUGGAGCGGUGGAAUGCGCAGAUAUCAGGAGGAACACCAGUGGCGAGGGCGGUUCUCUGGGCCUUUCCUGACGCUGAGGAGCGAAAGCGUGGGGAGCGAACAGGCUUAGAUACCCUGGUAGUCCACGCUGUAAACGGUGGGUACUAGGUGUGGGGUCCAUUCCACGGGUUCCGUGCCGUAGCUAACGCUUUAAGUACCCCGCCUGGGGAGUACGGCCGCAAGGCUAAAACUCAAAGGAAUUGACGGGGCCCCGCACAAGCGGCGGAGCAUGCGGAUUAAUUCGAUGCAACGCGUAGAACCUUACCUGGGUUUGACAUGGAUCGGGAGUGCUCAGAGAUGGGUGUGCCUCUUUUGGGGUCGGUUCACAGGUGGUGCAUGGCUGUCGUCAGCUCGUGUCGUGAGAUGUUGGGUUAAGUCCCGCAACGAGCGCAACCCUUGUUCACUGUUGCCAGCACGUUAUGGUGGGGACUCAGUGGAGACCGCCGGGGUCAACUCGGAGAAAGGUGGGGAUGACGUCAAGUCAUCAUGCCCCUUAUGUCCAGGGCUUCACGCAUGCUACAAUGGCUGGUACAGAGAGUGGCGAGCCUGUGAGGGUGAGCGAAUCUCGGAAAGCCGGUCUCAGCUCGGAUUGGGGUCUGCAACUCGACCUCAUGAAGUCGGAGUCGCUAGUAAUCGCAGAUCAGCAACGCUGCGGUGAAUACGUUCCCGGGGCU
Molecule: ribosomal RNA, 1346 nt
Filed under: uncultured bacterium
Lineage: Bacteria
Description: partial 16S ribosomal RNA
Rfam family: Bacterial small subunit ribosomal RNA
Source: RNAcentral